This 1131-nucleotide long non-coding RNA is filed under the name Ursus thibetanus thibetanus. Its description in RNAcentral is "lncRNA (ENSUTTG00000006495.1)". Lineage: Eukaryota; Metazoa; Chordata; Mammalia; Carnivora; Ursidae. The record is from RNAcentral.
AUGAUAAGGCUACACACACCCCACCUCCAGGAGACUUUAGCACCGUCGCCAGCCAAUCUCCCUUUCUUAUUCCUCCCCUCCAUGCCAAGGCUCCCCAACAGAGGAAGAAAACAAAUGCUUCUGGUUACCCAAGUGCGGAGCGCUGUGCUAGCAGAGAAUUUGUGUGUUAAACUGCCUGGCACCGAGGAGGUCGUUGCUCCUCUCGCCAGCCUGGCACGAACUUUAGCUCUCCUCAGACUUCAGUGUCCCGUCAGUGCCUCAUGGCACGACAGCCCAGAUCUCAGUAGCCAAGUUCGCCCCUGCGAUUUAGACUCUCGUGUUUGCACCCGGGCACUCAGGGCCGGUACCCCCGACGCCCCUUCCCCGGGCCCAAUCCCGACCGCUCGGGACCCCUUUCCCCGCCUCUCGCGGUUCCGCACCUGGUCCGGCGGGUGGGCACGCUGCUCCGCGCUCCCGGCGCCUCCCGCUCGGCUUCUGCGUUUUGACAAGCAGAGGCAGCCCAGCACCUGGCCCCGCCUCCCUCAGGCCUCCGCCCCUCUCCGGGCCCCGCCUCUGGACACGCCCCUUCCCUUGGCCCGGCCCAGAGGACCUGCCUCGCCCCGCGAGCGCGCUGGCGGCUUUGCAACCAUCUUGCCUCGGAAUCAACCACUGGGAGACUCUGCCCGGGGUAGUCCUCCGCGACUGAGGUGCACAGGGCGAGGCGUGCUUCUGUCCGCUGUGCGUGCGAGUUUUCAAUGGUUACGUGUGUGCAGAUCCACGCUGUGCCCGCGGCAAUCUGUGAUGCAUUCGCCCACCUCCCGCCGCCAGGGCUUUACCCAGCCUGCUGCAGACGCCUCUUCCAGGUGCGUCACCCCGACCUGGGCUGACCGGACCGGGACUUCGUCGUCUGCCGGGCUGGGGGCGUCUGCCGCCGGCAUCAUCAGUUCUCUCUGCGCUCGUGGGAAAUCCCGGGCGCCGCUCGCGGUCGCGUUACUUCUGCAGAGCGCCAGGGAGCUCAGCCCGACCCCACAGGCUAGGAUAAAAGAGCAAACGGAAAACGGGGCCCAAGUGGAGCCUGGAGCUGCGUCGUUGUCCCCCUCGAAACCGCCUAGCCCGCGACCGCGGCUGAUCACGUCGCGAACCUCAUCCUAG